GGCGAGUGAAGCGGGAAGAGCUCAAAUUUGAAAUCGCGUCCGGGUAACCGGGUCGCGAGUUGUAAUUUGAUGAGGUAAACUUGGUGGGCGCCUGGGUCUAAAUCCUUUGGAAAAGGGUAUCAUAGAGGGUGACAAUCCCGUCUGUGGCUCAGUCAGCGGUCUAUCGUGUAAGUUGCCUUCAAAGAGUCGGGUUGUUUGGGAAUGCAGCCCUAAGCUGGUGGUAAAUUCCAUCUAAAGCUAAAUAUUCGUGAGAGACCGAUAGCGAACAAGUACCGUGAGGGAAAGUUGAAAAGCACUCUGGAGAGAGAGUCAAACAGCACGUGAAAUUGUUAACAGGGAAACGUUGGGCCCCAGUACGCGCCUCGCGUAAAAUCAACCAUCUCUUCCCCGAGGGUAUCCGUGCCGGGUGGAUGAGUCCUUAAGAAGGGCCAUUGCCUGGUCGGUGCCCGAGGGGGGUGGUGCACUUUUGCGUGGGCGGGUCAACGUCAGUUAGAGCCACCGGAAAAUCCUGGGAGGAAUGUUGGCGAAGGCAACGGACCCACUUAUAGCCUCCCUUGAAAACGGUGACCCUGACUGAGGAGUCGCAGCCUCAUCAUAUGGCGCGCGCGUCUCCCUUCCCCCUGUGGGUAAGGCAGCUUGCUGACUUGCCUCGGUAAGGGAGGGGACUGCGCGUGUGCCUGGUGGGGCCACGGACGUUGGCGAAAUGGUUCUCAACGACCCGUCUUGAAACACGGACCAAGGAGUCUAACAUGUGUGCGAGUAUUUGGGUGCAAAACCCGAAUGCGCAAUGAAAGUGACCGCAGGGGAGAAGGGUGACCCUCUCGGGGGUCGCCCCGCAUCCUCGACCGAUCCGAUUGCCCUCCGUGGCGACGGGUUUGAGUUUGAGCAUAUCUGUUAGGACCCGAAAGAUGGUGAACUAUGCCUGAGUAGGAUGAAGCCAGAGGAAACUCUGGUGGAGGUCCGUAGCGAUUCUGACGUGCAAAUCGAUCGUCGAACUUGGGUAUAGGGGCGAAAGACUAAUCGAACCAUCUAGUAGCUGGUUCCCGCCGAAGUUUCCCUCAGGAUAGCAGAAACGCGUUAACAGUAUUAUGAGGUAAAGCGAAUGAUUAGAGGCCUUGGGGGCGGAAUGCCCUUAACCUAUUCUCAAACUUUAAAUAUGUAAGAAGUCCUUGCCACUUAAUUGGGCAUGGACGUUGUUGUAUGAGCGUUUCUAGUGGGCCAUUUUUGGUAAGCAGAACUGGCGAUGUGGGAUGAACCAGACGGGAGGUUAAGGUGCCGGAAUGUACGCUCAUGUAGACACCACAAAAGGUGUUGGUUCAUCUAGACAGCAGGACGGUGGCCAUGGAAGUCGGAAUCCGCUAAGGAGUGUGUAACAACUCACCUGCCGAAUGAACUAGCCCUGAAAAUGGAUGGCGCUCAAGCGUACUACCCAAACCUCCCCGCCACGGGUUAAUGCGAUGCCCUGGCGAGUAGGCGGGCGUGGGGGUUGUGAAGAAGC
Molecule: ribosomal RNA, 1498 nt
Filed under: Piptocephalis freseniana
Lineage: Eukaryota; Fungi; Zoopagomycota; Zoopagomycetes; Zoopagales; Piptocephalidaceae
Description: partial large subunit ribosomal RNA
Rfam family: Eukaryotic large subunit ribosomal RNA
Source: RNAcentral